AAUAGAUACCCGGGUAGUCCACGCCGUAAACGAUGAGUGCUAAGUGUUAGAGGGCUUCCGCCCUUUAGUGCUGCAGCUAACGCAUUAAGCACUCCGCCUGGGGAGUACGGCCGCAAGGCUGAAACUCAAAGGAAUUGACGGGGGCCCGCACAAGCGGUGGAGCAUGUGGUUUAAUUCGAAGCAACGCGAAGAACCUUACCAGGUCUUGACAUCCUUCGCUACCUCUAGAGAUAGAGGGUUCCCCUUUGGGGGACGGAGUGACAGGUGGUGCAUGGUUGUCGUCAGCUCGUGUCGUGAGAUGUUGGGUUAAGUCCCGCAACGGGCGCAACCCUUGACCUUAGUUGCCAGCAUUCAGUUGGGCACUCUAAGGUGACUGCCGGUGACAAACCGGAGGAAGGUGGGGAUGACGUCAAAUCAUCAUGCCCCUUAUGACCUGGGCUACACACGUGCUACAAUGGAUGGUACAAAGGGUCGCGAAACCGCGAGGUGGAGCCAAUCCCAAAAAACCAUUCUCAGUUCGGAUUGCAGG
This 529-nucleotide ribosomal RNA is filed under the name uncultured bacterium. Its description in RNAcentral is "bacterial SSU rRNA". It matches the Rfam family "Bacterial small subunit ribosomal RNA", at positions 777 to 1304 of the family's 1533-position model. The record is from RNAcentral.